Molecule: ribosomal RNA, 1378 nt
Filed under: metagenome
Description: bacterial SSU rRNA
Rfam family: Bacterial small subunit ribosomal RNA
Source: RNAcentral
GUCGCGCGAUUAAGGCCCGCAAGGGCGCAUAAAGCGGCGAACGGGUGCGUAACACGUGGAUAAUCUGCCUUUCGGUGGGGGAUAACGGCUGGAAACGGCCGCUAAUACCGCAUGUGGUUGCGAGGUCUUCGGGCCUUGCAAAGAAAGAGGCCUUUAAAGCCUUGCCGAGAGAUGAGUCCGCGCCCCAUUAGCUAGUUGGCGGGAUAACAGCCCACCAAGGCUUCGAUGGGUAGCCGAGCUGAGAGGUUGAUCGGCCACACUGGGACUGAGACACGGCCCAGACACCUACGGGUGGCAGCAGUAGGGAAUAUUGGACAAUGGGGGAAACCCUGAUCCAGCGAUGCCGCGUGGAUGAUGAAGGCCUUCGGGUCGUAAAGUCCUUUUCUGAGGGAAGAACUGUCUGGCGAGGAAAUGCGCUGGAUUUGACGGUACCUCAGGAAUAAGCAACGGCUAACUCCGUGCCAGCAGCCGCGGUAAUACGGAGGUUGCAAGCGUUGUUCGGAAUAACUGGGCGUAAAGGGAGCGCAGGCGGCUUGGUAAGUCUAAAGUGAAAUUCCAGGGCUCAACCCUGGACGUGCUUUGGAUACUGCCUGGCUUGAGUACGUGAGAGGAGAUUGGAAUUCCAGGUGUAGCGGUGAAAUGCGUAGAUAUCUGGAGGAACACCGGUGGCGAAAGCGGAUCUCUGGCACGUUACUGACGCUGAGGCUCGAAAGCAUGGGGAGCAAACGGGAUUAGAUACCCCGGUAGUCCAUGCCGUAAACGUUGUGCGCUAGGUGUAGGAGGUAUCGACCCCUUCUGUGCCGCAGCUAACGCAUUAAGCGCACCGCCUGGGGAGUACGGUCGCAAGACUGAAACUCAAAGGAAUUGACGGGGGCCCGCACAAGCGGUGGAGCAUGUGGUUUAAUUCGAGGCAACGCGAAGAACCUUACCCAGACUUGACAUCCCAGGACCGCCUAUGAAAGUAGGUUUUCCCUUCGGGGACCUGGAGACAGGUGUUGCAUGGCUGUCGUCAGCUCGUGUCGUGAGAUGUUGGGUUAAGUCCCGCAACGAGCGCAACCCUUGUCCUUAGUUACCAGCGGGUUAUGCCGGGCACUCUGAGGAGACUGCCGAUGAUAAGUCGGAGGAAGGUGGGGACGACGUCAAGUCAUCACGGCCCUUACGUCUGGGGCUACACACGUGCUACAAUGGUCGGUACAGAGGGACGCAAGAUCGCGAGAUGGAGCCAAUCCCAAAAAGCCGGCCUCAGUUCGGAUUGCAGUCUGCAACUCGACUGCAUGAAGUCGGAAUCUCUAGUAAUCGUGGGUCAGCUACACCACGGUGAAUACGUUCCCGGGCCUUGUACACACCGCCCGUCACAUGACCCGAGUUGGGUGCACCC